Molecule: ribosomal RNA, 706 nt
Filed under: uncultured bacterium
Lineage: Bacteria
Description: bacterial SSU rRNA
Rfam family: Bacterial small subunit ribosomal RNA
Source: RNAcentral
CCCAUAUCAGGGAUAGCCUCUCGAAAGAGAGAUUAACACCGCAUAACAUCAUUUACCGGCAUCGGUUUGAUCAAAUAUUUAUAGGAUAUGGAUGGGCUCGCGUGACAUUAGCUAGUUGGAGAGGUAGGCUCACCAAGGCUACGAUGUCUAGGGGCUCUGAGAGGAGAAUCCCCCACACUGGUACAGACACGGACCAGACUCCUACGGGAGGCAGCAGUAAGGAAUAUUGGUCAAUGGAGGCAUCUGAACCAGCCAUGCCGCGUGCAGGAUGACUGCCCUAUGGGUUGUAAACUGCUUUUGAGGGAAUAAACCUUUCUACGUGUAGGAAGCUGAAUGUACCUGAAGAAUAAGGAUCGGCACUCCGUGCCAGCAGCCGCGGUAAUACGGAGGAUCCAAGCGUUAUCCGGAUUUAUUGGUUAAAGGGUGCGUAGGCGGUCCUAUAAGUCAGUGGUGAAAGACGGCAGCUUAACUGUCAGUGCCUUUGAUACUGUAGGACUUGAAUCUAUUUGAAGUGGGCGGAAUAAGACAAGUAGGUGAAAUGCAUAGAUAUGUCUUAGAACUCCGAUUGCGAAGGCAGCUCACUAAGUUAGUUGACGCUGAUGCACGAAAGCGUGGGGAUCAAACAGGAUUAGAUACCCUGGUAGUCCACCCUAAACGAUGAUAACUCGAUGUUUGCGAUACACAGUAAGCGUCCAAGCGAAAGCGU